This 292-nucleotide ribosomal RNA is filed under the name uncultured bacterium. RNAcentral's name for it is "partial 16S ribosomal RNA". It matches the Rfam family "Bacterial small subunit ribosomal RNA", at positions 505 to 796 of the family's 1533-position model. The record is from RNAcentral.
GUGCCAGCCGCCGCGGUAAUACAGAGGGUGCAAGCGUUGUUCGGAAUUAUUGGGCGUAAAGCGCGUGUAGGCGGCUUGGUAAGUCGGGUGUGAAAGCCCUCAGCUCAACUGAGGAAGUGCGCCCGAAACUGCUUUGCUUGAGUGUCGGAGAGGGUCGUGGAAUUCCCCAAGUAGAGGUGAAAUUCGUAGAUAUGGGGAGGAACACCGGUGGCGAAGGCGGCGACCUGGACGAUAACUGACGCUGAGACGCGAAAGCGUGGGGAGCAAACAGGAUUAGAUACCCUGGUAGUCC